RNAcentral lists this ribosomal RNA (466 nucleotides) under uncultured bacterium. RNAcentral describes it as "partial 16S ribosomal RNA". It matches the Rfam family "Bacterial small subunit ribosomal RNA", at positions 28 to 507 of the family's 1533-position model. The record is from RNAcentral.
GAUGAAUGCUGGCGGCGUGCUUAACGCAUGCAAGUCGAACGAUGAAGCCCAGCUUGCUGGGUGGAUUAGUGGCGAACGGGUGAGUAACACGUGAGUAACCUGCCCUUGACUCUGGGAUAAGCCUGGGAAACUGGGUCUAAUACUGGAUAUGACUUCUCAUCGCAUGGUGGGGGGUGGAAAGAUUUAUUGGUCUUGGAUGGACUCGCGGCCUAUCAGCUUGUUGGUGAGGUAGUGGCUCACCAAGGCGACGACGGGUAGCCGGCCUGAGAGGGUGACCGGCCACACUGGGACUGAGACACGGCCCAGACUCCUACGGGAGGCAGCAGUGGGGAAUAUUGCACAAUGGGCGGAAGCCUGAUGCAGCGACGCCGCGUGAGGGAUGACGGCCUUCGGGUUGUAAACCUCUUUCAGUAGGGAAGAAGCGAGAGUGACGGUACCUGCAGAAGAAGCGCCGGCUAACUACGUG